This 200-nucleotide unclassified non-coding RNA is filed under the name soil metagenome. Its description in RNAcentral is "partial contains 5.8S ribosomal RNA, internal transcribed spacer 2, and large subunit ribosomal RNA". The record is from RNAcentral.
GGUAUUCCGAGGGGCAUGCCUGUCUGAGCGUCAGUGAACUUCACAAGGAUUUGUUUGUAUUUGCUUGCAUCUCAAACGAGUUCUAGUGAUUGAGUGUGACUUGUCUCACUUGAAAUGCAUCACGAUUGGUGUCAUAGGUCCGCCUCACCAAGAAUUUACGUCUUGACCUCAGAUCAGGUAGGGUUACCCGCUGAACUUAA